GGGGACUGAUUUUUAUCAGUACUAUCUGUUGAUUAUUUGAUACUAAUCUGGAUUUUUGUUUUUUUAUUUAUGUUCUUUAUUUUUCUUUUGGUUCUUAUUUUUGGUUCUGGAGUUUUACCAGGUAGUGCAUGAGCAGCUAUGGAGAUUUUUGAUAGCAUGGGCACUACAUGCUAUCAAUGGCCAGCCGAGAGGGUAUAUUUGAAGAAUGUUGCUGCAACCACAAGUUCUGAUUCGGUUACUUUGUUAGCCACUCAAAUCGCUGCAUUGACUUCUAAGAUAAAUGCUUUGAUUAUUGCUAAGAUGGAGUCAGCUGUGAAAAAUCCGAUGAUGAUGGAAGAGGCAAAUUUUGUCAGCAAUUUCAAUUUCAGGAAUUUUGAGCAGGGUGGAUUUCAAAGAGGACAGCAGGGAAACAAUCAGAGUUGGCAACAGUUCUAUCAUGGAGGGUGCCCGAAUAACGC
RNAcentral lists this long non-coding RNA (458 nucleotides) under Salvia miltiorrhiza (redroot sage). Its description in RNAcentral is "long non-coding RNA (SMIL_LNC009619)". The record is from RNAcentral. Lineage: Eukaryota; Viridiplantae; Streptophyta; Magnoliopsida; Lamiales; Lamiaceae.